GGGUGUGUAGCUCAAUUGGUAGAGCAACGGCGUGGUCGUGCCAGCCCGGCGCUGGCGACGCGCUGCCUGCCCGGCGCAGGUGGCAACGCUGUCGGUUGCACGUUCGAGUCGUGCCGCACCCGC
Molecule: transfer RNA, 123 nt
Filed under: Mycobacterium phage Efra2
Lineage: Duplodnaviria; Heunggongvirae; Uroviricota; Caudoviricetes
Description: tRNA-Ala
Rfam family: tRNA
About the family: Transfer RNA (tRNA) molecules are approximately 80 nucleotides in length.
Source: RNAcentral